AGUGUAUCACUGGUUCUGAAAAGUGUAUCACUGGAAAUAUCAAUUAACUGACAUUUGAUACAACAAAGUGCGGAUGAAUAAUGAAACUGAUCAACAAAAAAGAACCACAACAAAGUGCUAAUGAAUAUCAAGAAAAUAAACAAAAACAUCAAAACUACACAAGGCGUUUGGAAAUACUGGGGUAUUGGACAAUUGUUUCCUCCAUGUAACUACCACCAAUGAUCAGAUCCUUUGUACUGGCCACAGACCUAAAUCACUAUCAGGAAUAGAACAGACCAACCAAUAUGAAAAUAAAACAAAACAGUAGUAUGUAGACAGAUUCCAGACACAGACAACAGUUUUCUAAGACGUACAUCCCUACACGCAAUCCACAUCAAAUCACUCUUGGACUUGAUCAAUAUUUAUCCAGUUGUGUUCUGCAAGACCAAACAAGUCCUCGUGUCGGUUUCAAUUCAUCUCUAAUUGUACAAUGCAAACAUUACUAUUCUACAUGUAGAUCACAAAAUUAAGUUUAGAUUUGUGCUACACCAUGUUAUGAACAACAGCUGCAAUAUUUCAUAUAUCACUGCUGUUGUAUUUGAACAAUAAGACCAUGUGUUUUCAUUAUUUGGUCUCAAUUUUUAUUCAAGCUGGACUACAACAAAAUGUUUCAGCUGUAAUAAUGCUGUUAUUCAUACCAUUCACUUAAAUUGUGUGCUUUAUAUUGUGUAGGUGUAUAUAAAAAGAUUUCUUGAAUAUCUGUUUAACUCAGUUAGUCACUUAGAAUAUUUGCAAAUAAACCUCUGCCAUUUGGAGUAAGACUUAAAACAAGAAUGUGAUAAAAGCACAUGAUUGAUGUCAUCAGCAACUCAUGAUUCUCAGCAAAUUAAUGUUGAUUUAUUGUAACAGGUAAGUAUCUGAAAGUGGGGUCACUGGCAUGGCAGUAAAUGCCUGUAAACCCUUUCUUUCCAUGUCAUGUUGCUCAAAUAGCUGAAGAACAUUCUGAGUAAUUUCAUGAUGAUAUAUCAGGUGCUCAUGGUCUAGUUCCAUGGCAUGCCUUCUAUAUUUUUUGGUGUGUCAUUAAAAACGACUUAACUGAUUUAUAAAACUUUUUUAAACAACUUAAACUAUAUUGUCAAUUUCAUGCAAAUUGACUCAUAUGUGCUCAGUGUGGCAUUAGACAAGAUGAUAAUAUUCAUAUUGUGUUUAUAUGGGAAAUUGAGCCAUACACUUUCCAUGAAGUAUGUACAUCAUAGGUAUAGUUCUGUACACCUAUCAUACAAUCUUGUGCUAAAUAUGUCUAUGAAACAUCACAUUAUAUCAUUGUUCAUUCACUAAUUGCU
This is a long non-coding RNA of Pecten maximus, 1322 nucleotides long. RefSeq lists it as uncharacterized. The transcript has 3 exons. Lineage: Eukaryota; Metazoa; Mollusca; Bivalvia; Pectinida; Pectinidae. The record is from RefSeq and is a predicted model, not a curated record.